Molecule: long non-coding RNA, 888 nt
Organism: Cucumis sativus (cucumber)
Lineage: Eukaryota; Viridiplantae; Streptophyta; Magnoliopsida; Cucurbitales; Cucurbitaceae
Exons: 2
Source: RefSeq, a predicted model, not a curated record
AAAAGUAAAUUAUAAAAAUAGAACAUUUGAUAAAAUAUCUACAAAAAUCAAGUGUAGUAGACAAUAAUAAAACGAUAAAAAUACAUCUUUUUUGCAGGAAAAAAUGAAAUUUUUCGAAUAAUAUUUUUAGCGACCGUAUUUGAUAUCAUAAGAUAGAAAUAUUAUAAUAUAUAAUAUUUAAGAUAUGAAAAAUAACAUUUUUUUUAGGGAUUAUUAGCACUCCACCGGGUACCCUCUUUCGCACUGCUCCCUUCAGAAAUAGGGAUUAUUAGCUUCCAUUUGAACGUCUUCUCCAGCCGACGACCAGGGUCCAUCACCGCCACUGCCCCCUCGUGGCCGUCUCCCCACUCCAACGCCGCUUGUUCCUCCUCCACUGGAUGACGAAACGUUCUGUAAUUUCCAAUCCAUCGGUUAUCUGUUCAAUCCUGCCAUGCCCGUAAUCUCCAAUCUGCCACAUUCUCUUCAACAUUCAAUCCUCAUCCGUCACCUACUCUACCGCCGACGUUCCGAAGGGAUAUUCUCGACAUGUAAUGUAAUGCUUAAUGUCGUGGUACCAUGGUUUUCUGACAAACUCUUGCUCAACGCUCAUGCAAUACACCGGUGCUUCACGCUUUUCAAUUCUUAUAGGCUGCAUGUCCUCGUUGAAAGCCACAUUAAACAUGGAAGAUAGAGUAGCCAAUGCAUCUACUAUUUGAUUACUUUCACGUGGGACAUGUUUGAAUGUAAUUGACUUGAAAGUUUGAGUCAAUUUUUGAAUGUACUUGUUAUAAGGAAUCAAUUUAGAGUCUCUUGUCUCCCAUUUCCCAUUGAGUUGAUGUAUUAGCAAGAGAAAACCCCCAUAAACUUGCAACUUCUUAAUCUUCAUGUCAUAGGCCAUUUGAACUCCCA